This is a long non-coding RNA of Zea mays, 649 nucleotides long. RefSeq lists it as uncharacterized. The record is from RefSeq and is a predicted model, not a curated record. The transcript has 2 exons. Lineage: Eukaryota; Viridiplantae; Streptophyta; Magnoliopsida; Poales; Poaceae.
CAUCUUCUCCGAAUCCUAACAAACGCAGCGAAUUCUCUACGGUCCGGUUCAUUGGCCACCUCCGAUGGUCACAUUCGCCUGGCCAACACUUCCAUGGUCGAGGCUAUAAAUCAGGGCCCCAUGAAUCCCUCCUGGCCACCCAAAUCGAGGAAACUCGAGGAACCAAAAUCUACCAUCGUCGGAGGGAGUAGAGACCAAGGUUGCGGCCAUCGCAAGGUAUCCUUGCCCCGCCGUUGAUGCCAUCGGUGUCCAAGACCUCAUGACCUCGGCAAGUGGCGCAUAUGGGAUCACCAGGGUCUAUGGGGCUUCAUCGAAGGUGCUGCCAAACCUAGGGAUCGCCGGAGUCGCAUGGAUUGCUCACCAAAGUUCUUCUCAGCCGCCGAGCCGCUCCACGCGUGGGCGGGGGCAUUGUCACCCUAAAUCCGCGGUCAAAAGCAGGUACCACAGGAUGAGGCGCAUGAAGGAUGCUGUGAUGAGUUCGUGAGUGGUCUAGUUCGUCGUCUCCUAGUCAACUUUGGGUUGCUGGAUCGUUGUCUUCAUAUGAUGUAAUUAUUUAUCUAUUUUAUACAGAACUUCGUUAUAUAAUAAUGAUGUGACAUUCAUUUCUGUACCAUGGGUCAUCAUAUGUGUGAGACUUGAUCCUAGCACA